RNAcentral lists this long non-coding RNA (2060 nucleotides) under Carica papaya (papaya). RNAcentral's name for it is "long non-coding RNA (CPAP_LNC008081)". Lineage: Eukaryota; Viridiplantae; Streptophyta; Magnoliopsida; Brassicales; Caricaceae. The record is from RNAcentral.
UGAAGAGAGAAGGGAAGGGGAGAGGGAGAGAGAGGUUCGAUCGGGUCAGACAGGAAGGGAGCCGCGGCCAGUAGAAGAAAAAAAGGGGUGUGGCGGUGCAGACAGGCAGUCGAGGAAGCCCUAUUACGUGUGUGUGGCCAUGUGCCCGCCGCCGCUGGUGAGCUGGAGCCAAGAGAUCGUAGCGGGUGGUCAAAACCCGAACCUUAUCUCGGGUCACGGGAAUCCGAUCUACACUUAUGAGGCAGUUUCCUUUCAUUCCUUUACAGAUGUGUGAAUUAUUUGAUUUUAAUACUCAGUUUGGUGCGUGCAUGAUUCUAAUUUCUGUCUUUAAAUUUCGAAUGCGUCGGUUGAAUUUGGUAUGUUCAUUUGUCUGCAAUUUCUUUGUGCUUGUUGAUUAGUUGUUAAGGAUGGAACGGAGAGAUUGAGGCAAUGAUAUGUAGGAAGAAAUGCAUAAACCCGCUAAAUGGAUUUAAAAAUGUAUGAACAUAUAUCUGCCUAUAUGUGUAUAUGUAAUCUGAAUGUGAGUAUGUAUGUGUAGUGCAUAUAUAUUACUGGGUAUGAGGAAACAUGAUUGUAAGUGUUUAUAUUUGAUUAUAUAAUUAUAUAUAAGUUGAAGAUGCAUUCUAGGUGAAAUCUGUAAAAGAACAUAAUGUAUAUGUGCAUGUGGGUAUAAAAACAGAAGAAGAUAAAUGUAACUGCGAAAAUGUGUGGAUAAACAGAUCAGUAGGUAUAUAUGUACACGAUAAUGUGUAUGAGUUUCUAAGGAUUAGGCAUGUUGAGUUUUAGUUUAAACAGAAGAUAGACUUUAGGAAUUAGGAUUCUUGAGAAUGGUUUGCAUGAAGAUGAAAACGAGAAAGACUUGAUUAAGGUUCUGGAGAGAUGCAGUUAGCUAACUGGAACCAAUUUUCUGUUUUGACUAAAACUCCAGAUGUUUUGUUCUGUCAUAAACUCCCUUGGAAAAUACUUGGUCUUCGAUUUGGUUCUUUCAGAAGCUCAGAUUUCCUUGUAAUCAGAUAUAUCCAACUUGCAUGUAUCGCUGCCACUGAGUCCUGCUUUUCAACAUUGAUAAGACGCAAAUAUGGAAGAUCCAGCUUUUUCGAGGAGUCUGUCUUGUGGUUUUGUUCUGGCUCAGUUAAUUUCCAGGAAAUUUUUGCAUUUAUACUUUUAGUUUUAAGCAGAAGACUGUUAAUAUGCAUUGGGAUUCUAGAAAAAGUGUUACUUAAAUACAGUUUGACUGUUUCUUGUGUUUAUAGUUUUUGUUUAAAACGAAAGUUGGCUCCUUAAAUCAAGAAUCUCGAAAAAAUUUAACUCGCUGGAAAAAGCAAGAACAACUUGAUCAAGGCUUUGAAGAAAUCCAUAUAACUAAUAUGAGCUAGUUUUCCUUUGAAACUAAGACUUAAGAUGUGAGAAUUCUUGGAAACUCAAGAGUGGAAUUUUUUGAGUUUCUCCACAUCUCAUGAAAAGUAUUUCGUUCUCCUUCAUACAAUUCCCUGUAAAUAUUGUCUGAUUUGGUCGUUUUUAGAAACUCAAAUUUUUUGAUAGCCAGAUACAACUCACAGUUGAAGUGAUAUUCGAUCUUUUUAGAUAUCGAUAAGAUGCAUAUAUGUGAAGGUUGAGUUCUUUGAGGAGUUGUCUUGUGCGUUCUGUUUUGGCUCAAUUCAUUUCAAAGAAAACAUGUGUCUUUGAACUUUUGUUUGAACUAAUGACUGUCUCCUUGCAUUGAGUUUCUUGAAAAAGUUUUACUUAAUGAUAAAAACCAUAAGGAGUUGUACGUUCAUGUUUAGCUCAAUCUUUUUCCAAGAACUACUGUUGCAUUUUGAGUUUUAGUUUAAAAUGGAUUCUUAAUCCUUGAAUCUGGAUUUUCGAGAAAGUUUUACUUGAUGAUAAGAUGCAUAUAUGAAAGGUCGAGUUCUUUCAAGGAGUCAACCUUGUGGGUUAUGUUUUGGCUUAAUUUCUUUUCAAGAAAUGUUGUGUCUUGAGUUUUUGUUUAAGCCAUAGACUUUAUUUUUCCAUCGGGUUUCUUGAGGAAAUUUGAUUUAACGAUAAAAACUAGAANNNNN